GCUGGGCAUGGUGGCUCACACCUGUAAUCCAACAACUUGGGAGGCUGAGGUAGAAGGAUAAUAAGUUCAAGGCCAGCCUCAGCAACUUAGACUCUAUCUCAA
This 102-nucleotide small RNA is filed under the name Marmota monax (woodchuck). The record is from RNAcentral. Lineage: Eukaryota; Metazoa; Chordata; Mammalia; Rodentia; Sciuridae.